RNAcentral lists this ribosomal RNA (506 nucleotides) under uncultured bacterium. Its description in RNAcentral is "partial 16S ribosomal RNA". It matches the Rfam family "Bacterial small subunit ribosomal RNA", at positions 29 to 523 of the family's 1533-position model. The record is from RNAcentral.
AGUGAACGCUGGCGGUAGGCCUAACACAUGCAAGUCGAACGGCAGCACAGGAGAGCUUGCUCUCUGGGUGGCGAGUGGCGGACGGGUGAGGAAUACAUCGGAAUCUACUUUUUCGUGGGGGAUAACGUAGGGAAACUUACGCUAAUACCGCAUACGACCUACGGGUGAAAGCAGGGGAUCUUCGGACCUUGCGCGAUUGAAUGAGCCGAUGUCGGAUUAGCUAGUUGGCGGGGUAAAGGCCCGCCAAGGCGACGAUCCGUAGCUGGUCUGAGAGGAGGAUCAGCCACACUGGAACUGAGACGCGGUCCAGACUCCUACGGGAGGCAGCAGUGGGGAAUAUUGGACAAUGGGCGCAAGCCUGAUCCAGCCAUACCGCGUGGGUGAAGAAGGCCUUCGGGUUGUAAAGCCCUUUUGUUGGGAAAGAAAUCCAGCUGGUUAAUACCCGGUUGGGAUGACGGUACCCAAAGAAUAAGCACCGGCUAACUUCGUGCCAGCAGCCGCGGUAA